UCGGGAAUUUUGGGCAAUGGGCGAAAGCCUGACCCAGCAACGCCGCGUGAAGGAUGAAGUAUUUCGGUAUGUAAACUUCGAAAGAAUAGGAAGAAUAAAUGACGGUACUAUUUAUAAGGUCCGGCUAACUACGUGCCAGCAGCCGCGGUAAUACGUAGGGGCCAAGCGUUGUUCGGAUUUACUGGGCGUAAAGGGCGCGUAGGCGGCAAUUCAAGUCAUCUGUGAAAUCUCCGGGCUUAACUCGGAACGGUCAGAUGAUACUGCUUUGCUAGAGUGCAGAAGGGGCAAUCGGAAUUCUUGGUGUAGCGGUGAAAUGCGUAGAUAUCAAGAGGAACACCUGAGGUGAAGACGGGUUGCUGGGCUGACACUGACGCUGAGGCGCGAAAGCCAGGGGGAGCAAACGGGAUUAGAUACCCAAGUAGUCCCUGAGCGGGCUGGCAAGGCGCAU
This 448-nucleotide ribosomal RNA is filed under the name uncultured bacterium. RNAcentral's name for it is "bacterial SSU rRNA". It matches the Rfam family "Bacterial small subunit ribosomal RNA", at positions 355 to 825 of the family's 1533-position model. The record is from RNAcentral.